RNAcentral lists this unclassified non-coding RNA (200 nucleotides) under soil metagenome. Its description in RNAcentral is "partial contains internal transcribed spacer 2 and large subunit ribosomal RNA". The record is from RNAcentral.
AUUAUCAUCCCUCAAGCCCGGCUUGUCCUUGAACCUCUUGUCGUCAAAGACGGGUUCGAAAGAUAAUGACGGUGUCGUGUCGACCCUAGAUUGCAACGAGCUUUUUACAGCACGCAUUUUAGCGGUUGGCCGGCCCGGUCUUUAACCUUAAUUUUUCUAUGGUUGACCUCGGAUCAGGUAGGAUUACCCGCUGAACUUAA